RNAcentral lists this ribosomal RNA (253 nucleotides) under uncultured bacterium. Its description in RNAcentral is "partial 16S ribosomal RNA". It matches the Rfam family "Bacterial small subunit ribosomal RNA", at positions 524 to 776 of the family's 1533-position model. The record is from RNAcentral.
UACGUAGGUGGCAAGCGUUAUCCGGAAUUAUUGGGCGUAAAGCGCGCGCAGGCGGUCCUUCAAGUCAGAGGUGAAAGCCCAGAGCUCAACUCUGGAAUGGCCUUUGAAACUGGAGGACUUGGGUACGGGAGAGGUGAGUGGAAUUCCGAGUGUAGAGGUGAAAUUCGUAGAUAUUCGGAAGAACACCAGUGGCGAAGGCGGCUCACUGGCCCGUUACCGACGCUCAGGCGCGACAGCGUGGGGAGCAAACAGG